Molecule: ribosomal RNA, 308 nt
Filed under: Anatoecus cygni
Lineage: Eukaryota; Metazoa; Arthropoda; Insecta; Psocodea; Philopteridae
Description: partial 12S ribosomal RNA
Source: RNAcentral
AUAUUAUUAGAGUUAAUAAAAUUUAAGGGGAGCUAAUGAUCAUUAGCAAACAAUUAAGUAUGGCGGUAAAAGGUAUGAUUAGAGAGAUAUAUUAUUUAAUCUGACGGCGCACAGAAUACCUAACUUGAGCUCAUUUUCCAUACCGCCGUCUAAAGAGACUGUUUUCUGACAGUUUUCUAAAUAGGUUCACAUCUGAGAAGUCAGGUAGAGGUGGAGAGUAUGUUUAAGGAUUUUAUGUAUCUCAUUGAAAAAGUAAAAUUGCGAAGCCAUUUUGGCAGAAAGAAAGCUGAGUUGAAUUUAACAGUACU